CGCGGUAUUUUGACUGUGCGAAGGUAGCAUAAUCAUUUGUCUUUUAAUUGAAGACUUGUAUGAAUGGCUGAACGAGAAAAUAACUGUCUCUUUAAAAAAUCUUGAAUUUUACUUUUAAGUGAAAAGGCUUAAAUAAUUUUAAAGGACGAUAAGACCCUAUAAAUCUUUAUAUUAUUUUUCUUUAACUUUCAAAUUAUAUAUUAAAAGAAAUAAAAGAAAAAAAUAUUAUAUUGGGGAGAUAAAAAUAUAAUUUUUUUUUAACUGUUUUAUAUAUAAAACAAUAAUUUUUGAUUUAUUAAAAAUUGAUCCUUUUUAAAGAUUUUAAGAUUAAGUUACUUUAGGGAUAACAGCGUAAUUUUUUUUGAGAGUUCUUAUCGAAAAAAAAGUUUGCGACCUCGAUGUUGAAUUAAAAAUACCCUUAUAAGUGCAGAAGCUAUAAAGGAAAGUCUGUUCGACUUUUAAAAUUUUACAU
Molecule: ribosomal RNA, 472 nt
Filed under: Aegla castro
Lineage: Eukaryota; Metazoa; Arthropoda; Malacostraca; Decapoda; Aeglidae
Description: partial 16S large subunit ribosomal RNA
Rfam family: Bacterial large subunit ribosomal RNA
Source: RNAcentral